RNAcentral lists this ribosomal RNA (403 nucleotides) under uncultured bacterium. Its description in RNAcentral is "partial 16S ribosomal RNA". It matches the Rfam family "Bacterial small subunit ribosomal RNA", at positions 28 to 526 of the family's 1533-position model. The record is from RNAcentral.
GACGAACGCUGGCGGCGUGCCUAAUACAUGCAAGUCGAACGCAGUGGGGACGGGUGAGUAACACGUGGGUAACCUCCCAUCAGAGGGGAUAACACUUGGAAACAGGUGCUAAACCGAUACUGAUGGAUGACCCCGCGGUGCAUUAGCUCGUUGGUGAGGUAACGGCUCACCAAGGCCAGGAUGCAUAGCCGACCGGUGAGGGUGGUCGGCCACACUGGGACUGAAACACGGACCAGCCUCCUACGCGAGGCAACAGAAGGGAAUCGUCGGCAAGGGAAGAAAGUCUAACCGAGCAACGCCGCGUGAGUGAAGAAGGUUUUCGGAUCGUAAAACUCUGUUGUUAGAGAAGCGGUAUCUAACCAGAAAGCCACGGCUAACUACGUGCCAGCAGCCGCGGUAAUUC